This 253-nucleotide ribosomal RNA is filed under the name uncultured bacterium. RNAcentral's name for it is "partial 16S ribosomal RNA". It matches the Rfam family "Bacterial small subunit ribosomal RNA", at positions 524 to 776 of the family's 1533-position model. The record is from RNAcentral.
UACAGAGGGUGCAAGCGUUGUCCGGAAUCAUUGGGCGUAAAGAGCGUGUAGGCGGCCCGGUAAGUCCGCUGUGAAAGUCGGGGGCUCAACCCUCGAAUGCCGGUGGAUACUGUCGGGCUAGAGUGCGGAAGAGGCGAGUGGAAUUCCUGGUGUAGCGGUGAAAUGCGCAGAUAUCAGGAGGAACACCAAUUGCGAAGGCAGCUCGCUGGGACGUAACUGACGCUGAGACGCGAAAGCGUGGGGAGCAAACAGG